Gallus gallus (chicken) is the source of this 1985-nucleotide long non-coding RNA. The record is from Ensembl. NCBI's taxonomy places the organism in Eukaryota, Metazoa, Chordata, Aves, Galliformes, Phasianidae.
AAUUAGGUCAUACUUUCCCACUUGUGCCAUGGUUUCUAGCUCCUCCUGUUUAUUUACCAUGCUGCACGCAUUGGUAUAGAGGCACUUCAGCUUGGCUAUUGGCCUCGUUGCCUUCUCAGAGGAGCCCUCCCUAAUACCUCCAGGACAAGUCUGGGGUUUUUCCCUACCACCUCCCAAGGUGACACCCUUCCCAUGUGCUUCUCUGUUAUCCAGUACACUCCCUUCCCCCAUCAUAUCUAGUUUAAAGCCCUGCUAACCAGCCCAGCCAGCUUGCUCCCUAGAAUAUUUGUGGGCCUUCUACUCAGUUGGUUCCCAUCCACUGUCAGCAUUCCCCCUUUCUCAAGGCUGCAUCCCAAGCCAUAGUACCCAAAGCCCUGAGUACGACACCAUUUGCAAAGCCAUUUCUUCAGCAUGUCUGCCCUCCUCUUUUUGUCCAGAUCCCAGUCACCAACUGAGGGGACAGAGGAGAACACAGCUUGUGCUCCCGAUCCCUUCAGCAGUUUUCCCAGAGCCCUGAAGUCCCUUUUGGUCACCCAAGAACUUCUUUUGCUUACCUCUUCAUUACCAUUACGGAAAACUAGUAACGAAUAAUAAUCAGAGGGCUUGAUCAGGCGAAUGGUGAUCCUGGCAACAUCUCUCACCCGGGCUCCAGGCAGGCAACACACCUCCCUGUGGGGCAGGUCCAAGCCCUCAGAUCCCCUCAGAAGGGAGUCCCCUGUGGUGACAACCCUUUUUUUCCUGACUGACGUUGUUCUUCCUGACUAGCCCUGGACAACUUCUCCUGCACAGAUGGACUUUCACCAACAUCCACAUCCCCCAGUUCUUGCAGCUCCAGAGCCUCAUACGUGUUAUGUAAGGGUACCUGGGAAGGUGGGACAGGCUGAGGGGCAGCCUGCUUCCUCAUACGUGUUAUGUAAGGGCACCUGGGAAGGUGGGACAGGCUGAGGGGCAGCCUGCUUGCAGCCGUGAACAGGAACUCAUUUCCAUCCCUUGCUGUCUUUGAGGUCACCCCCUCCCACCUGGCAGUGAGAGGGUAGAUGAGCCCCUGCUGCCUGAAGAGCAUCUCCCCCACACCCUUCCUGUAGGGAUGGUAGAGUGCGACUCCACCAAUCAAUCCCCUUCCCACAAUCCCAGGUGCUCCACCAGCCUUUCCACCACUUGUUAUGCUUUCACUCUUUAUGACAAACUACAGCAAAAUCAUUUCCUAUAGUUCAAUCCAACAGCAGAAUUAAUUAAGAAUGUUUGUUUCUUUCCCAGGAGACAAAGAAGGAGAUACAUUUCUUCUCUGAUUUAUUCUUAUUUAAAAACAAUAUGACAAAGCUCUUCAGUACUUAUCUUAAAUAAUGCUGUAUGAGAUUACAAGAGAUGCAAACAGAAUAACACUGCCUUUAUCUCAUGACAAAAUAUCAGAUUCUCAUUAUUCUUCCAGAGAGUUAUGUAAUUUCUUGAUUUUAGUUUGGCUAUCUAUUUCUUGAGCUAGAGUAAGUCAAAUCUGAAAAAUAUGAGUGUAACCAAAAUAGACCAUAGAAUCACAGAAUCACAGAAUACCAUGAGCUCGAAGAGACCCAUGGGGAUGAUCAAGGCCAGCUCCUGGCCACACACAGGGCCACCCUAAAUCCAAACCCAAUGUCUGAAAGUAUUUUCUAAAUGCUCUUUGAACCCCAGCUGUGACCACAGCCCUGAGAAUACUGUUCCAGGGUCCUGCCACUCUCCGAUGAAGAAACUUUUCCUAACAUCCAAUCCCUUUCUAGGAUAGCCAGCAGCUUCAGAGGGCUGACAAAGGGUGACUACUUUUCUCUGCAGUCUGUGAGCUCACUGGAAAACAGAUUGGGUUACUGAGUAUUCAGCACCUGACACACUGAUAUAGUUUGCUGAAAACUAGUGUAGCAUGCAUACCAACAUGUAUUGUGUGAAGCAGUUCAAUGAUCUAGUGUAUUUGUUAAGCUUCUGCUAUCAUAUGAAAUAAAAUUUGAUUAUUUUAAGCU